GCAAGUGGCGCCAGGUUGCUUGACGUAUUGCACGCUAGAGGAGAGAAAAGCAGACGGGGAAAUACUUUAUAACGAAAUAUUUAAGUGGAAAAUGAAACAUGCUCCUAGCAAAAUUCACCAUUUUUCUGACGCUUUUUUAGACGAGCAAAUUAGAAGGGAUUUAAACUCCUGGAUCAGAAACAUAGAUGAGAGGACUUCAUGCCAAAGACUACAGAUCUUAUUUUCAUUUUCCGUCCCUUGUCAUGAGGCUCUUGAACAUAUAAUGAAAUUAAAAGUUCCCAUCAUCUCUGCAGGUGCUGGAAAUGGUUAUUGGGAGUUUCUACUCCAACAGCGAGGAGCAGACAUUGUGGCUUUUGAUCAAAACACUGUGUAUCCGACAGAUAUGAGAUACACAGAGAUCAUGGAAGGUGACCCAAGUAUUUUAUGUGAUUAUAAAGACAGAGCUUUACUGUUGAGCUGGCCUGAUCAUGCAGAGGAUUGUUCAUUUUCACUGGACUGUCUGAAAUACUACAGCGGAAAAACUAUCAUUCACAUCGGCGAACUCUUUGGCGAAACACUCUCCUCAAAUCCCUGGGGUCAAACUACCUCACGUGCUUUCCAACUUCGACUCGGGGAAACUUUUCGCUGCGUGUCACGUGUUCAGCUUCCAAACUGGCCUGGUCACAUGGAUUCAUUAACAGUUUGGUCACGUGCUCCAGAUGUCGUUGACUGUGACGGAGCUGAUAUGGUGUUUAUUCCUUUGGAGAACACGAGAUACUUUGGGUGGAGUGGCAAUUGAUGAUAUUUGCACUUCCUCAUUACUAGAUUGCACGCCCCUGAUCAUCAUCUGGCUACGAAUUCAUAAAAAUAUGGAAAGAGUUUUCUAGCACUGGACUUCACAGAGGCCUUGUCAAUAAAAUGUGUGGUCUCGGACAUAGUUUGAUGCUACUCUGGUUUAAAGAUUUAAUGAAUGUAACUGAAGAAGUUACAAUUCAUAGACCCAACAUUGUGGUCUCAUUAAGGCAGUGGUGGUAAACAAACAAGAAUGGAAGGAAGUGUAGAACUCGAAGCGUUGGCACUGUUAUGGGCGAUGAGUGAUUUACAUGACGAAGAUUUGUUAUUAUUUCGUAAGAAGAUGUAAAUUAUUUUCUCACGAAAAGGAUGUUGACAAACCCGUUUCAGGAAAAAAACGUAGUAAAGGAAGACAACAGAGCCGAGGUCUUACUGCGCGAAAAGUGCUGCUCUUUUUAAGAUUUCCUCCUUUCGGCGACUUCACCCAGGCAGAUCCAGGACUCCACGAAGGGGAACGAGCCAACAUCGAUGAACGACGGCUCGGGCUCGACAGUCGGGAUAGCUCGGAAAUGACCGACAUGCUUUCUUCAUCGUCCUCGGGUUGGAAGACACUUGCAGGAGCUGCAUUACCUUGGAAACAUAGCAUCUCCACUUGUUCGUGUAACGUGGAAGCGAGGUACACUGCACCAGGAGAGACCGCUGGACCAAGGACUCGUGGAUUUUGAAUUUCCAUAAACUUGUGCACGUACCGACUACAGUAAAACGAGAAAAAAGUGAAAAAGUGAAAAAGUGAAACGUUGAAAUUAUUACAAAUAAGUAAGGAAGAUUAAGUGCAAAGGUACCUGGGAUUUUCGGCGUUGAUCGGUGGGAUUUCACAAACGUCAAUUGAAUUAAAAUGAGUGACAAACA
Molecule: non-coding RNA, 1680 nt
Organism: Pocillopora verrucosa
Lineage: Eukaryota; Metazoa; Cnidaria; Anthozoa; Scleractinia; Pocilloporidae
Source: RefSeq, a predicted model, not a curated record